GACGAACGCUGGCGGCGUGCCUAAUACAUGCAAGUAGAACGCUGAAGGAGGAGCUUGCUUCUCUGGAUGAGUUGCGAACGGGUGAGUAACGCGUAGGUAACCUGCCUGGUAGCGGGGGAUAACUAUUGGAAACGAUAGCUAAUACCGCAUAAUAGUAGAUGUUGCAUGACAUUUGCUUAAAAGGUGCAAUUGCAUCACUACCAGAUGGACCUGCGUUGUAUUAGCUAGUUGGUGAGGUAACGGCUCACCAAGGCAACGAUACAUAGCCGACCUGAGAGGGUGAUCGGCCACACUGGGACUGAGACACGGCCCAGACUCCUACGGGAGGCAGCAGUAGGGGAUCUUCGGCAAUGGACGGAAGUCUGACCGAGCAACGCCGCGUGAGUGAAGAAGGGUGUCGGAUCGUAAAGCUCUGUUGUAAGAGAAGAACGAGUGUGAGAGUGGAAAGUUCACACUGUGACGGUAUCUUAACAGAAAGGGACGGCUAACUACGUG
Molecule: ribosomal RNA, 495 nt
Filed under: uncultured bacterium
Lineage: Bacteria
Description: partial 16S ribosomal RNA
Rfam family: Bacterial small subunit ribosomal RNA
Source: RNAcentral